Non-coding RNA from Podarcis lilfordi (Lilford's wall lizard), 269 nucleotides. Lineage: Eukaryota; Metazoa; Chordata; Lepidosauria; Squamata; Lacertidae. The record is from the annotation of a GenBank genome assembly.
GGAUGUGAGGGUGAUCUACCUGUGACAUUUGUCACCCCGUUGAUCACCAGGGUCGAUUUGGCUAAUUGGCUGGCUAGGCAGGUGUCACCUUCCUCCCUCACCACUCCAUGUGCAUCCCUCCCGAAGCUGGAUACUCGGUGGAAGAGGACAACCAUCCCAGAUAAAAGGAGCAUACUGUUCUUUGGUCAAAGGUAUAGGAUAGCUAAGAUUGGUGUCACAUUUCACUCUUAUCCUCUCCCCAUCGUUCCAUGAGGUGGAUGGUGACUGUU